GGAAGUGUUUGCACACCUGGUGGUGGCCGCGGUUUUCAAAACCGUAGGGCCGCACGUUAACCGUGUGGUCGGUGGGUUCGAUUCCCAUACACUUCCGCCA
Molecule: transfer RNA, 100 nt
Filed under: Rhodopirellula sp.
Lineage: Bacteria; Pseudomonadati; Planctomycetota; Planctomycetia; Pirellulales; Pirellulaceae
Also listed under: 3 other names
Description: tRNA-Sec
Rfam family: Selenocysteine transfer RNA
Source: RNAcentral